Eriocheir sinensis (Chinese mitten crab) is the source of this 1009-nucleotide long non-coding RNA. RefSeq lists it as uncharacterized. Lineage: Eukaryota; Metazoa; Arthropoda; Malacostraca; Decapoda; Varunidae. The transcript is spliced from 4 exons. The record is from RefSeq and is a predicted model, not a curated record.
GGUGGAGCGCCAGCGAGGCCAAGGUCUCCCAGGCGAGCAUGGCAGGACUGGAGGGCUCCCGGCAGGGCGCCUCGGCGUCCAUCGGGACCCCGACGGAGGUGCCGGAGAUCUUUCGGCUACAACGCCGGGCAGGUGGGGCUCGUUAGCCGUGGUAGGCAAUUCACCUAGGAGAGCAAACUCCGAACAACAAACCCGGGCAGGUGGGGCUCGUUAGCCGUGGUAGGCAAUUCACCUAGGAGAGCAAACUCCGAACAAUAAACCCGGGCAGGUGGAGGUCGUUAGCGAAAGCAGUUCAUCUAGGAGAGCAAACUCCGAUUACAAAACCGGGCAGGUGGAGGUCGUUAGCGUGAGCAGUUCACCUAGGAGAGCAAACUCCGAUUACAAACCCGGGCAGGUGGAGGUCGUUAGCGAAAGCAAUUCAUCUAGGAGAGCAAACUCCGAUUACAAACCCGGGCAGGUGGAGGUCGUUAGCGAAAGCAGUUCACCUAGGAGAGCAAACUCCGAUUACAAACCCGGGCAGGUUGGGCUCGUGAGCCGUCAUAGGUAAUACACCUAGGAGAGCAAACUCCGAUCAUAAAACCCGGGCAGGUGGAGCUCGUCAGCCGUGGUAGGCAGUCUGCCUAGGAGAGCAAACUCCGAACAAUAAACCCGGGCAGGUGGAGCUCGUCAGCCGUGGUAGGCAGUCUGCCUAGGAGAGCAAACUCCGAACAAUAAACCGGGGCUUGUGGUGCUCGUUAGAUGUCGUAGACAAUCCACGUGAUGGGAACACCAAAGAAAAGGAAAAUAAAAAGGAACACCAGAAAAAGGAAAAUAUAGUAACAAAACAUCAAGAAAAUAAAAUAAAAAACACAGAUCAUCCACCUUCAGGCCCUAACAUCUCCAAAAUUAUGGGUGAGUCUUUUCUGGGGAGAAAGAGGCUCAUCCAGACCAAAGAACAUCAAAAAGGGAUGAUAUAGAAAGGAACACCAAAAAAAUGGGAAAAAGAGAAAAAAAACAUCGCAAAAGAAAA